Phyllopteryx taeniolatus (common seadragon) is the source of this 3851-nucleotide RNA transcript. RefSeq lists it as uncharacterized. Lineage: Eukaryota; Metazoa; Chordata; Actinopteri; Syngnathiformes; Syngnathidae. The record is from RefSeq and is a predicted model, not a curated record. The transcript has 3 exons.
AUUACCUGUCAACUGGCGAAAGUCUUCCUACAGCAAACACUGUCUAAUGACAUCAAUGAAUGCACACCUGUCAGUCUGCCUUCUAGGAUCGAGAAAGCAGAGCUUGGUUCCGAUCUCCCUGGGAUAGGGUCAACGGCCCCUGCCCCUUCGGACCACCCCUCUACAACCCUGGCACUGCCACGUCGGGAGCUCGCCACGCGAACUGCAGCCCGCCUCAAUGCCGCCCCUGCGUUUGUCUCUUAUCCUUGCAUCACUACAGGUAUGAGCUUAAAAGACUUUGACAGAAAUGCUUGCAACAUUCCGAGAUUCUAACCUAAAUUUGACAGCUCACGCGACACAGCCGCGUACCUCAAAGACAUUGACUUUUACCUUAAACGAUUUCCUUGCGCUACCACGGAUGAUAGAUUGUAUCUUAUUAAAGUUACUUCUAACCAAGAAGUAAGUAGCUUAAUUGAAUGACAACCAGGACUUGUACUGUCUAACUAUCAAGACCUCUGUCAGGCUUUGUCCCAUGAAUUUGACAAUCCGGAGGCUGCAACCGGCUUAUCGGCAGCUCUUACUAUUAAACAGGAGAGCCUCGAAACGCCACAAGCUUACUACUGUCGGUUGCGUAAUGCGUUGUUUGAAAAUUUUAACGAACCGAACAUGGAAGAAGACAUACAUUUUAAGACGCUUUUUGUUGAAAACAUGCACACAUAUUAAACAACAUUUGGGCGUGGCAGUAUGCCCCCGCACACUGUCCAGCUCACAACUGCGCGACCUAGCCGCUAAAGGUUUCGCUAAGCACAAAACGACCAACACAAAGCUGUCGGAUCAUAAUAUUUUUGGCUUGAGCUACCAAAAUAAUGACGCGCGCCAAAACUUUGAACAUUUGCUGGAAACUGACGCCUGGUCAACAGUCAUGCAUCCUCUUUCACAACCCCACAAGGGGUCACUAACAAAGAAUUGAGUAGCCUAUUCUUGAGAUCAUCCGCAGCUUGGCGAAUAAUAUGAAGCAAGACCUAUGACAGCCUGAGCCCCUGCUUGGAGACCACGCCCCCGAGCCUGGUCAGCCCGCUGUGAUGGUCUGUUCUGACUCCGACGUCUCUGUGCAUUCGGCUGAUUCUCCAAUUAGCGAUGACAAGCAUCCCGUCCAACAGACCGUGGGCAAGCACAUAACCAACCACUGCGAUGACCAGGUACCCCCCCUUACUAAAAUCAGACCAGAACCCAGUUCGACAAUUAGACCUCGACAGUCUCGGACCAUGACUCCAGCGACCUAUCAAACAAAAAAGACAAACCGCCAUUUCAGCACCUAGGUAAGCUCACCGUUAAUGACACGUCAGGGAAAUCUUACUUGACAACCACACUUGAACGUACGUUCCAAUAUGACGGACUCGUGGAUACUGCAGCAGACAUCACGGUCAUGUCCGAGGAUGUGUUGGACUUACUGCGUGACAAAUUACAGCAAGAAAGCCAUACACUAAACCUGCAACACUGCGAAAUGACAAUUCGCCCCUUUGCUUUGACGAACACCCAAUUAAACUCGCUUGUGUGGUUACAUUGGACAUUAGGGCCACAUUCCAUAAUUCAUGUGUUCGUGUCACCUGUCAAGACACUUUGCUCAUUGGACAAGAUCUGCUAAGUCGUUUCAUGCCAUUAAUUGAUUAUACUAGGCGUGAGAUUUAUGCCCAGGUGCGACGACCAGAACACACGAGAGAAUCCUCCCAGUGCCACGCUCUGUGCCUCCUGGAUGCGCCGCCUCUCUCAAAAUUGCAGCCAGAUGACAGCUUGACAAAAGGGGGGUGUACACCGGUAACGCUGAAGAUGUCCACCAGUGGUCGCUCUCGCAACACCAACCAAGCUUUUGAGACCACAGGACCCUUUGGUGAGAUGCAAAACUGCGCCCUCUGAGUCGCAUAACAUCAUUGGUCCACCUAUUCAGCUGUCACGCUAACCUUGAUUGUGUCUUUCUUGAAUAGCUGGCCAUCACUCUCAGUGGCCGCUAAGUCAUUGUACUUUUUUUGUGAUUUUCACACACGCAUGGCUUCAACGGCACAGGACAUGUGGGCGUUGUCUCUUAUCAGAGACCUCGGACUUCCUGUGCACUGGUUCCCUACACCUUGCAAAGUGCACCCCGGUGCUAUUUCGCCCACCCCUCCCACCAAAUGCCGGGGACCCGACUAUUCUGGUGCUCCUGCAAUGACCACUUGUGAUGUGCAAUUCCUUCUGUGUUGGGUCCCAGCCUUCCUCUUCUCCACUGCGUUAUUCGUGAUGUCGACUGCUUUUCCUUUAAUCUUUCCGUGGCUUGCCUUGGCGGCCACCCUUUCAAUUCUUCCUUCCUGCGCGUUGUGCAAGCUUAACUCUGGUUGCUCCUUGGCUUUGCACCUGCUCAUUUGCAUUAUCGUGGACUUUUGUUACUGCGCCUCCAUGGCGCUCACUUCUCAGCCUCUCGGAGCACCACGGAGCGAAAGGGGGGGUCACACAAAGUCACACGUCUGUGCCCGAGGAAAGACUUCACACCUGCCCCCAGCUGGUCUGCUGCGUCCCUUGCCUAUCCCGAGCCGCCCUUGGUCCCACAUCGCCUUGGACUUUAUUACCGGCCUACCCCCCUCUGAAGUCCAUUGAAUCCCCAUCGAUAUCGUCUCGGACCGAGGUCCUCAGUUCUCCUCCCUUUUCUGGAAGGAGUUCUCUAAAGCGAUGGGCACAGCAGCCAGCUUGUCUUCGGGAUACCAUCCACAGACCAAUAGCCAGACGGCAACGUGGGCAAAUCAGUCCCUGGAAUCGGCCCUUCGCUGCGUUGCCGCACGCAACCCCACAUCCUGGAACUCAUUCCACACAUGGAUUGAGUACGCCCACAACUCCCUCAUCAGCUCCGCUACUGUUAUGUCUCAUGGACUGCUACGGUUUCAAACCGCUAUUAUUCAGAACAGGAGCAGGUGGUGGCGGUUCCCACGGUAAGGGAUCACCUUAAGAGGAUCCAGGCCGUUUAGAAAGACGUCAGGGCGGCCUUAACCCGGUCCACAAAGAGAAACAAACGGCUCGCGGACCUUCGUCGCUCUCCGUCAGUCCGUUUGGCUUUCCUCCCGUGACCUCCCACUCCAGAAGGAAUCCCGCAAACUCACUCCGUGAUUUAUUGGAAAAUUUACGGAAAAUCAACAAUCCCACGUCUGUUCAACUGAAACUUCCGCAAUCUCUGAAAAUGUAUCCAACGUUCCAUGUGUCACUACUCAAGCCUGUCUCCACCUGCGCUCUUAGCCCUCCGGCCGUAAGCCCGCCGCCCCUCCGCGUUAUCGCCAACCAUCCGGCCUUCACGGUUUUGCACAUCCUCGAUGUGACGCCCAGGGGGAGGGGUUACCAGUUUCUGGUAGACUGGGAGGGGUAUGGUCCGGAGGAACGCUCCUGGAUUUCCCGUAAGCUGAUCCUUGACGACUCCCUCAUUACGGCCUUUUACGCGGCUCACCCAGAGAAACCGGGCAGGACGCCAGGAGGCGUUUGUUGAGAGGGGGGUACUGUCAUUAGCUGUGCCCCGCAGUUCUUUUGUUGGAGCUUAGGUGGCGCUUUGUGCCCCUCUCGCCCUCUCUCUCUCUCUUCCCAGUAAUCAGCACCACCUUGGCCACACACCUGUCAUCAAUCAGCCUUCAUUAUCACCUGCAUAAAAGCCUGCCAGAUCCCGGAAACCCUCGCCAGAGUAUUAACGUUCUCCCGUGUGCUCCUUCCGUGUUCCCCGCCGUGUUGACCUCUUCCACCACGCUGCCAAGCCAUCCACCUGCUCACGCCACAGCCUGCCACUCGUUCCCUGUCUCGACAACCCGCCAGUACGCCUCAAAGAUCCCUCUCCAUAUCCUCUUCAAUAAACCUUUCACCACAAA